AAUUUUCAUCGGUAAAGCUGCCGAAAGGCAGUGACACAAAGCCAAGGGUCUAAAGUCUUACAUAAGACUAUGACAGCCGGUUGCCACA
Non-coding RNA from Anaerostipes sp. CAG:276, 88 nucleotides. Lineage: Bacteria; Bacillati; Bacillota; Clostridia; Lachnospirales; Lachnospiraceae. The record is from Rfam.